RNAcentral lists this ribosomal RNA (116 nucleotides) under Thiovulum sp. ES. The record is from RNAcentral. Lineage: Bacteria; Pseudomonadati; Campylobacterota; Epsilonproteobacteria; Campylobacterales; Sulfurimonadaceae.
GUUAGUGACAAUAGAGGAGAGGAUACACUCAGUUCCAUUCCGAACCUGAAAGUUAAGUUCUCCAUCGCCGAUAAUACUGCCCCCUACGGGGGUGGGAAUGUAGGUCGUCGCUAACU